RNAcentral lists this long non-coding RNA (203 nucleotides) under Lathyrus oleraceus (garden pea). RNAcentral describes it as "Pisum sativum (pea) long non-coding RNA (PSAT_LNC039006)". The record is from RNAcentral. Lineage: Eukaryota; Viridiplantae; Streptophyta; Magnoliopsida; Fabales; Fabaceae.
AAGGGUGUUGUUAGCUCUUAACCCUAACAUUGAGAGUUAGGGUGAAGCAGAUGAAAUGGGGAAAUGAGGAUAAGACCUCAUAGCUCUUAUCCCUGGCCUGGGAGAGCUUCAAACAAUGAAAGUAUGGGAGUCCAGAAUGUGGGACUCUAUUCUGCAAUGACUGACACAACAAGAUUUUGGGUUUUUAUUCAAAGUGCAUCAAC